GAUGAACGCUGGCGGCGUGCUUAACACAUGCAAGUCGAACGGAAAGGCUCCUGCUUGCAGGGGUACUCGAGUGGCGAACGGGUGAGUAACACGUGGGUGAUCUGCCCUGCACUUCGGGAUAAGCCUGGGAAACUGGGUCUAAUACCGGAUAGGACGAUGGUUUGGAUGCCAUUGUGGAAAGUUUUUCGGUGUGGGAUGAGCUCGCGGCCUAUCAGCUUGUUGGUGGGGUAAUGGCCUACCAAGGCGUCGACGGGUAGCCGGCCUGAGAGGGUGUACGGCCACAUUGGGAAUGAGAUACGGCCCAGACUCCUACGGGAGGCAGCAGUGGGGAAUAUUGCACAAUGGGCGCAAGCCUGAUGCAGCGACGCCGCGUGGGGGAUGACGGCCUUCGGGUUGUAAACUCCUUUCGCUAGGGACGAAGCGCAAGUGACGGUACCUGGAGAAGAAGCACCGGCUAACUACGU
RNAcentral lists this ribosomal RNA (464 nucleotides) under uncultured bacterium. RNAcentral's name for it is "partial 16S ribosomal RNA". It matches the Rfam family "Bacterial small subunit ribosomal RNA", at positions 28 to 506 of the family's 1533-position model. The record is from RNAcentral.